GUGCCAGCAGCCGCGGUAAUACGUAGGUGGCAAGCGUUAUCCGGAAUUACUGGGCGUAAAGCGCACGCAGGCGGUCUUGUAAGUUUGACGUGAAAGCUCCCGGCUUAACUGGGAGAGGUCGUUGAAGACUGCAAGACUUGAGGAAAUGAGAGGGGUGUAGAAUUCCCGGUGUAGUGGUGGAAUGCGUAGAUAUCGGGGGGAAUACCAGUGGCGAAAGCGGCACCCUAGCAUUUUUCUGACGCUCAUGUGCGAAAGCGUGGGGAGCGAACGGGAUUAGAUACCCCCGUAGUCC
RNAcentral lists this ribosomal RNA (292 nucleotides) under uncultured bacterium. RNAcentral's name for it is "partial 16S ribosomal RNA". It matches the Rfam family "Bacterial small subunit ribosomal RNA", at positions 505 to 796 of the family's 1533-position model. The record is from RNAcentral.